GAUGAACGCUGGCGGCGUGCUUAACACAUGCAAGUCGAACGAUGAAGCCCAGCUUGCUGGGUGGAUUAGUGGCGAACGGGUGAGUAACACGUGAGUAACCUGCCCUUAACUCUGGGAUAAGCCUGGGAAACUGGGUCUAAUACCGGAUAGGAGCGUCCACCGCAUGGUGGGUGUUGGAAAGAUUUAUCGGUUUUGGAUGGACUCGCGGCCUAUCAGCUUGUUGGUGAGGUAAUGGCUCACCAAGGCGACGACGGGUAGCCGGCCUGAGAGGGUGACCGGCCACACUGGGACUGAGACACGGCCCAGACUCCUACGGGAGGCAGCAGUGGGGAAUAUUGCACAAUGGGCGCAAGCCUGAUGCAGCGACGCCGCGUGAGGGAUGACGGCCUUCGGGUUGUAAACCUCUUUCAGUAGGGAAGAAGCGAAAGUGACGGUACCUGCAGAGAAGCACCGGCUAACUACGUG
This 465-nucleotide ribosomal RNA is filed under the name uncultured bacterium. RNAcentral's name for it is "partial 16S ribosomal RNA". It matches the Rfam family "Bacterial small subunit ribosomal RNA", at positions 28 to 507 of the family's 1533-position model. The record is from RNAcentral.